Molecule: long non-coding RNA, 1462 nt
Filed under: Parus major (Great Tit)
Lineage: Eukaryota; Metazoa; Chordata; Aves; Passeriformes; Paridae
Description: lncRNA (ENSPMJG00000014463.1)
Source: RNAcentral
CUUCGCGUCACCACGGGAACGGCGGGGCGGGCGGGGCGUCCCGGACACAGCCCUCAGGGGGUCUGAGGGGUUGAGGGAUCUCCAGUGGGUUUGACAGGGCUCUGAGGGAUCUGCAGUGGGUUUGACAGGGCUCUGAGGGAUCUGCAGUGGGUUUGACAGGGCUCUGAGGGAUCUGCAGUGGGUUUGACAGGGCUCUGAGGGAUCUGCAGUGGGUUUGACAGGGCUCUGAGGGAUCUGCAGUGGGUUUGACAGGGCUCUGAGGGAUCUGCAGUGGGUUUGACAGGGCUCUGAGGGAUCUGCAGUGGGUUUGACAGGGCUCUGAGGGAUCUGCAGUGGGUUUGACAGGGCUCUGAGGGAUCUCCAGUGGGUUUGACAGGGCUCUGAGGGAUCUGCAGUGGGUUUGACAGGGCUCCAGAGACUCUGACGUGACUCAAUUGCUCUGGAAGGGCUCCAGAAGGUCUGAGGCGGCUCUGGGUCUCUGAGAGGGCUGCAAGCCCCAACCUGAUCUCCACACAAGGAAGAAAAUCCAUCUCCUUUUCCUGGCUUUAAUGUUUUGAAUUGCUGAUAAAAUAGAGGGACUGCAGAGUAACUUAAACAAGCAAUACAAUCUAGGGGGCAUAUAAGUCAGUUAGUCCCACACUAAUGAGGCACAUUUCAAAGUUAUUUGUCAUUUAGUGUAAAGUUUCAUGGCAUACUGCUGGGAUCCUCCACAGCCUCACCUGCUCCUCUCCUACUCACAGCAUUUCAACAUUACACUGUCCACGUGUCACUUACUUACAGAAAUUAGAUUAAAUUAUUCCAUCAAUCUGACUCUGUCCUUUCAAAAUCUAUGUCCUUAAGAUAAAUAGAAAUUUACAAAAUAAUUUUACAAUUUUACUCAACAGGAGAGGUCCAUGAAUAGUACCUGACGCCCUGAAUCACGCUUGUCUCACUUCCCCCCAGACCACCCCCACCAAACUGAGCGGUGUAUCACAGGGCCAGGAACACAGUAAUGACAGGACAGGGCCAUUCCCUCAGCCCCAGGUGUGCAUCAUCAGGGCCAAGUCGAAGAGAAGGGACAGUGCAUCUGUCAAGGCAAGCGGAUUUGGGGGCUGUGCUGAAGGUUACAGUAUUUAUCACCGUGGCAGAAUUUCAUCCGGAUCCUGGGAGCACUUUGCCUGGCACAGUGAUCUUUAUAGGUAUGACAGACCCACAUGGGCUGAGACAGCGCUCACCUGGCAGGUCCCACAUGGCAUCUGAGAGACGAGAUGGGUGUUCCAGCCAAGCUGUGUCCCAAAGAUUGGGCACCAAAGUUCCUCCAGCCAGGGGGGUCAGGACCAGAGCCAUCCACCCCCAGGAGCUCUGCAGCACUACAGGGACUGUCUGAGUGCUGUCAGUGCGGGAGAUGCUUGGUGUCCUUCUCAAGUGCUAUAAAUGAAUAGCCGAUUUGAUUAAUAAAAAGAAGAAAUUUAUUCUAUAAUCA